CGCCUCUUGACCAAGUAUAAGAGGUCCAGCCUGCCCGGUGACUUAGUUUAACGGCCACGGUACCCUGACCGUGCGAAGGUAGCAUAAUCACUUGUUCUCUAAAUAGGGACUUGUAUCAAUGGCAUCACGAGGGCUGCACUGUCUCCUCUCUUCAAUCAGUGAAACUGAUCCCCCCGUGAAGAAGCGUGGAUUAAAUUAUAAGACGAGAAGACCCCAUGGAGCUUUAAACAAUGUGCUCACACCAUAUUAAUAUGCCAACUCACUAGAAGCCCUGAGCACAAGUUUUAGGUUGGGGAGACCGCGGAGCACAAACUAACCUCCACGACAAAUGGCUAUUGCCUAAUCCAAGAGCCACAGCUCCAAGAAUCAAUAUAUUGAUGUAUAUGAUCCGAUGUUCGAUUAACGAAUCAAGUUACCCUGGGGAUAACAGCGCAAUCUACUUUGAGAGUCCUUAUCGACAAGUAGGCUUACGACCUCGAUGUUGG
RNAcentral lists this ribosomal RNA (485 nucleotides) under Amnirana lepus (Andersson's Cameroon frog). RNAcentral describes it as "partial 16S ribosomal RNA". It matches the Rfam family "Bacterial large subunit ribosomal RNA", at positions 1829 to 2535 of the family's 2925-position model. Lineage: Eukaryota; Metazoa; Chordata; Amphibia; Anura; Ranidae. The record is from RNAcentral.